UACGGAGGGGGCUAGCGUUGUUCGGAAUUACUGGGCGUAAAGCGCGCGUAGGCGGACGUGCAAGUCGGGGGUGAAAGCCCGAGGCUCAACCUCGGAACUGCCUUCGAUACUGCGGGUCUCGAGUCCGGGAGAGGUGAGUGGAAUUCCUAGUGUAGCGGUGAAAUGCGCAGAUAUCAGGAGGAACACCGAUGGCGAAGGCAGCCUUCUGGGCCAACACUGACGCUCAUGCACGAAAGCGUGGGGAGCAAACAGG
Molecule: ribosomal RNA, 253 nt
Filed under: uncultured bacterium
Lineage: Bacteria
Description: partial 16S ribosomal RNA
Rfam family: Bacterial small subunit ribosomal RNA
Source: RNAcentral